CUGAUGCAGCGACGCCGCGUGAGGGAUGACGGCCUUCGGGUUGUAAACCUCUGUUAGCAUCGAAGAAGCGAAAGUGACGGUAGGUGCAGAGAAAGCGCCGGCUAACUACGUGCCAGCAGCCGCGGUAAUACGUAGGGCGCGAGCGUUGUCCGGAAUUAUUGGGCGUAAAGAGCUUGUAGGCGGUUGGUCGCGUCUGCUGUGAAAGGCUGGGGCUUAACCCUGGUUUUGCAGUGGGUACGGGCUAACUAGAGUGCAGUAGGGGAGACUGGAAUUCCUGGUGUAGCGGUGGAAUGCGCAGAUAUCAGGAGGAACACCGAUGGCGAAGGCAGGUCUCUGGGCUGUAACUGACGCUGAGAAGCGAAAGCAUGGGGAGCGAACA
This 379-nucleotide ribosomal RNA is filed under the name Rothia dentocariosa. Its description in RNAcentral is "bacterial SSU rRNA". It matches the Rfam family "Bacterial small subunit ribosomal RNA", at positions 383 to 774 of the family's 1533-position model. Lineage: Bacteria; Bacillati; Actinomycetota; Actinomycetes; Micrococcales; Micrococcaceae. The record is from RNAcentral.